Molecule: long non-coding RNA, 1717 nt
Organism: Asparagus officinalis (garden asparagus)
Lineage: Eukaryota; Viridiplantae; Streptophyta; Magnoliopsida; Asparagales; Asparagaceae
Exons: 11
Source: RefSeq, a predicted model, not a curated record
UUCAUUCGUCUCCCCCACACCCCCAAAUUUCAUUGGUCCCGCCCCGAGGAAAAAAAACCUAACCCCAAAAAUUUUCGCCUGCCCUUAAAUCUCCGCUUCAUCUUCUUCAACUUCAGACAUCGCGUUCUGCCUCUAUCGAUCAGAUAUCAAAGCAAGCUUUUACCAUUUACCGAUGGUGUCGAGUUACUGGAUGGUCGCCCUCCCCAUCCAGAGCUCCGCCGCCUCCCUAUGGAGUCGCCUUCAGGACUCAGUCUCCAAGCAAGCUUUCGAUACUCCUCUCAAUCGAUUCAACAUCCCCGAUCUCCGCGUCGGAACCUUAGAUUCCCUUCUUACCCUCAGUGAUGAUCUGCACAAGUCGAAUGCUUUUAUAGAGGGAGUUUCGCACAAGAUCUGGCGACAGAUUGAGGAGCUCGAGAGGGCUUCGGGCAUCGAUGUCGGGGCUACGACAGUUAAUGGAGUCCCUGUUGAUUCCUAUCUUACAAGAUUUGUCUGGGACGAAGUGAAGUACCCGACAAUGUCGCCGCUUCGGGAGAUUGUUGAAGGAAUUCAUGUCCGAGUGCCAAAAUUGAGGAUGACAUGAAGUUUGACAAUAUUAGGUAGUAUAAUCAAAACAACUUAGAAUUUAAAUAAAGGUGUCUGCUUUCCCUCCUCAUUCUCCAAAAUUAAAGAUCGAGAUUAACAAAUGGUGGAACCCUCGAAAAAGCGAUGGAUUCCUCUCGAAGCGAACCCCGACGUCAUGAAUCAGUUCAUUUGGGACAUCGGAAGUCCCCGAGGACCGAGUGGAGUUCAAGGAAGCGUGGAAGUGGGGAAAUUCUUGGUGGAUGUGGGACUCUACGAGAGCAAGGAGGAAGUUGUUAACAGAAAAGUAUUGGGACAAAUUGAUCAGAAUCUGCUGGGUGAUCCAAGAUGCUCUUUGCUUGUUGCAAAGGAUCCCGAAGAUAGAACUGAUAUGGUGAUCACAUCAUAUGGAGAUGCUAUUUCUACUGGCUAUCGCAAGAGCACUCUAUCACAAAUCAUCGAUAUUGAUUUUGGAUGAAGCUACUUUUUCUUUGGAUAGCAGGUCUGAACAGUUAGUGAGAUGAGCACUGGGGCACAUAGUGACUAAUCGCACAAGUGUUGAAGAGGCAGAAUGUUGUAGGGCAUAUGAUUCUGCUACUAAGGCAUACACUUCAUCUUUUGACCGCACGAAGCCAGCAGAGGAGGCUGUUCUUAGAGAAGCACACGAAGUUGCGGUUCAAAAUGCUCACUGAAGUCAUUCACUGAAACUUUUGUGGCAAAGAUGAAAUCAUAUCCUUAACAUUGAUGCAGUUACAUUUUUUCUAUUAUUUAUUUUCAAUACCUUUUCUAUUAGUUCAUAAACUUGUCUGGUACAGUCACAGGUAAAAUUGUUGUCAUGAAAAGUAUAGCAGCAUACAGAAGUGGCUUGGACAUUAAUACAAAUGUCAGUAAGAAGGCUGGCGAAGAAGGUUUGCUUGAAGAUUUACAUGGUACGUGCAAAGAAAGGCUGUACGAGAGACCUGAUUGGUGAAUACAUCGUAUGAUUAUGUAUUUAUUGCUUUUUGAAGUACAUGAUGCUUAUGUUGCAAAUUUUAUUUUCUACAGCUGGGAAGCAUAUGUAAUGCACCAAAGUUAGUUUUUGUUGUUCUGUGUACUAUGGUUAAUUUCUUGUACUCCAUGUUGGAUUAUCCAAAGACUAGUAAUUUGUUUUUUUGGCACA